Molecule: long non-coding RNA, 570 nt
Organism: Scophthalmus maximus (turbot)
Lineage: Eukaryota; Metazoa; Chordata; Actinopteri; Pleuronectiformes; Scophthalmidae
Exons: 4
Source: RefSeq, a predicted model, not a curated record
UUGUGGGUUUUUUUCCCCGCCAGUUUUCGGACUCACCUGCGCGUCAUCAGUGAAUCAGACCUCGGGUGUUCCCUCUCUUCACACCUCGAGCUCCAUGCUGUUCCGAGGAGGAGGAGGAGGAGGAGGAGGAGGAGGAGGGCUCGCUCUGGGGAAACAGAUGGAGACACAGCAGAGAGGGAGGAAGGUUCUGGACGGAGCCCAAGAGGCCACAGUGACCAGAUGCUGCCCGGCUGUCGCAGCUCUUUUCUGGGCAUCUCAGACACCUAGACGGCCUCUCACCUCUGGAACCGUCUGGUUUUUUUUCCUCGACGUUCCCCCACGUCUGACAGAGACCAGAGCUGACGGCCGGGGAUGGAAACCACACGAGGCCUCGGCUCUGAUUGCUGCUCCCGCUGAGCGCCGCCUGGACGAGGAGGAGGGGGAAUCUGACGACCUGCGAGCUGCUUCCCGGGAGAGCGAGCAGGCGCUCGAUAAAACUACACUUAUAGUGCCAGAGAGAGAGAGAGAGAGAGAGAGAGAGAGAGAGAGAGAGAGAGAGAGAGAGAGAGAGAGAGAGAGAGAGAGAGAGAG